Molecule: ribosomal RNA, 253 nt
Filed under: uncultured bacterium
Lineage: Bacteria
Description: partial 16S ribosomal RNA
Rfam family: Bacterial small subunit ribosomal RNA
Source: RNAcentral
UACGUAGGGGGCAAGCGUUGUCCGGAAUCAUUGGGCGUAAAGCGCGCGUAGGCGGCCCUGUAAGUCCGUUGUGAAAGUCAAAGGCUCAACCUUUGAAAGCCGAUGGAUACUGCAGGGCUAGAGUUCGGAAGAGGCGAGUGGAAUUCCUGGUGUAGCGGUGGAAUGCGCAGAUAUCAGGAGGAACACCAAUAGCGAAGGCAGCUCGCUGGGACGAUACUGACGCUAAGGCGCGAAAGCGUGGGGAGCGAACAGG